RNAcentral lists this ribosomal RNA (1361 nucleotides) under uncultured bacterium. RNAcentral describes it as "bacterial SSU rRNA". It matches the Rfam family "Bacterial small subunit ribosomal RNA", at positions 28 to 1381 of the family's 1533-position model. The record is from RNAcentral.
AUUGAACGCUGGCGGCAGGCCUAACACAUGCAAGUCGAACGGUAGCACAGAGAGCUUGCUCUCGGGUGACGAGUGGCGGACGGGUGAGUAAUGUCUGGGAAACUGCCCGAUGGAGGGGGAUAACUACUGGAAACGGUAGCUAAUACCGCAUAACGUCGCAAGACCAAAGAGGGGGACCUUCGGGCCUCUUGCCAUCGGAUGUGCCCAGAUGGGAUUAGCUUGUAGGUGAGGUAACGGCUCACCUAGGCGACGAUCCCUAGCUGGUCUGAGAGGAUGACCAGCCACACUGGAACUGAGACACGGUCCAGACUCCUACGGGAGGCAGCAGUGGGGAAUAUUGCACAAUGGGCGCAAGCCUGAUGCAGCCAUGCCGCGUGUAUGAAGAAGGCCUUCGGGUUGUAAAGUACUUUCAGCGGGGAGGAAGGGAGUGAGGUUAAUAACCUCAUUCAUUGACGUUACCCGCAGAAGAAGCACCGGCUAACUCCGUGCCAGCAGCCGCGGUAAUACGGAGGGUGCGAGCGUUAAUCGGAAUUACUGGGCGUAAAGCGCACGCAGGCGGUCUGUCAAGUCGGAUGUGAAAUCCCCGGGCUCAACCUGGGAACUGCAUUCGAAACUGGCAGGCUGGAGUCUUGUAGAGGGGGGUAGAAUUCCAGGUGUAGCGGUGAAAUGCGUAGAGAUCUGGAGGAAUACCGGUGGCGAAGGCGGCCCCCUGGACAAAGACUGACGCUCAGGUGCGAAAGCGUGGGGAGCAAACAGGAUUAGAUACCCUGGUAGUCCACGCUGUAAACGAUGUCGACUUGGAGGUUGUUCCCUUGAGGAGUGGCUUCCGGAGCUAACGCGUUAAGUCGACCGCCUGGGGAGUACGGCCGCAAGGUUAAAACUCAAAUGAAUUGACGGGGGCCCGCACAAGCGGUGGAGCAUGUGGUUUAAUUCGAUGCAACGCGAAGAACCUUACCUACUCUUGACAUCCAGAGAACUUAGCAGAGAUGCUUUGGUGCCUUCGGGAACUCUGAGACAGGUGCUGCAUGGCUGUCGUCAGCUCGUGUUGUGAAAUGUUGGGUUAAGUCCCGCAACGAGCGCAACCCUUAUCCUUUGCUGCCAGCGAUUCGGUCGGGAACUCAAAGGAGACUGCCAGUGAUAAACUGGAGGAAGGUGGGGAUGACGUCAAGUCAUCAUGGCCCUUACGAGUAGGGCUACACACGUGCUACAAUGGCAUAUACAAAGAGAAGCGACCUCGCGAGAGCAAGCGGACCUCAUAAAGUAUGUCGUAGUCCGGAUUGGAGUCUGCAACUCGACUCCAUGAAGUCGGAAUCGCUAGUAAUCGUGGAUCAGAAUGCCACGGUGAAUACGUUCCCGGGCCU